RNAcentral lists this long non-coding RNA (1619 nucleotides) under Anas platyrhynchos platyrhynchos (common mallard). RNAcentral's name for it is "lncRNA (ENSAPLG00000019111.1)". Lineage: Eukaryota; Metazoa; Chordata; Aves; Anseriformes; Anatidae. The record is from RNAcentral.
CCCCUCCCCUUUCCCAGGUGAUUGCGUUUGGGUGCUGGGUGGGGACAAAAGGUAUAUGAGCCCCAGGCAUGCCAUCAGAGAGCUCCUUCUGCCUGGGCUGCUCUCUGGGGUAAGUGCUUUGCUUUUCCUUCAGUCAGUUGCAGGGUUCUCUAGGCAGGCUGGAGCCUAUGGAUUUCUGGAUUUUAAGUGCUUGGAAUUCACUUAGUAGAGGGAUGUUUAGUAGGGGCUGCUGGCUCACUGUUUUUUUGGGAUGGUGGGAUACUCUUCUGUUUUUGAGCUAUAUUUUAAUAUCUAGAUGUAUAAACCCACUUGUGUAACUCUCCAGAGGACUAAAACCAGCUUGACUGCAUGCUACAUGUGGCUUGGCAGUGUAGAUGCAGCAUUACUAAGAGACUGAGCAGGGUUGUAUCAGAGUCACCUCUUUCAUCUGCCGUGUUUGCUGAGCGUGGUUGGCAGGAGGAGGUGGGGAGCUCCUCAGGACUGGUGCUUUGUGCAGUCGUGGACAGGGAAGGGAAAUCCUCAUGUCACGAAGCACUGAGGGAAGGCUGCAAUGCAGUGUGCAGUGCAGGAUGUCUCAACCAGCUGCCUCUGCAGUGACUCUGGUGCGUGAUGAGCAGAGGUGGAGUGGAUGAUAGUGGCUGCACUGUUGGAGCUUGGUUUCGGAGAGGAACAGGUGAGCAGAACCGUAUGUUGCAUCAGCAGUAGUCAGCAUUGUGGAGAAGGUGGGCAUCAUGGCCGACGUGCUAGUGAAUGCUGGUACUCUGUUUUUUGCAGCUGAUGAUGAGCCUGGCAAUUGACUAAGAUGACAAUCGGUGCCUGUGUAUUUCUUGAGGUGGAAGGAAUUUACCAUCCAACAACCUGAGAGCUAAGUUGGGGGGCGCCUGGUAUUUGCAUAUCUGGGGUGGCUAAUGGGAGCUGGGAGCCAGAGCAGCAUGGAGCCAGCUGGCUGAAUAGACUUGGUGCCACUGUGAGGGUGUUUCAGGCUGGGUCACGUUCAGGCUGCUUGUGGCUGGGUCACCAGGCUAAUAGAAGCAGCGGGAUUAUUUCGUAGCGUGAGUGCGUGUGCCAGGCAGGACAGUUUCCUUCAGUUUGUCUGUCUUGUGGUGUUGCUUCUGCAGUGUGUGUUGUGAGUUAUGGUCUCCUUCGGUCUUGAUAUCCUCAUGGGUUUUGACACUGGACUGACCAGACAGGCGACUUGGUAGCUGUGCUGAAGGGCCUCAAUGCUUGUUUUGUCAUCAUGGCUCUGAUCCGAGCACUUCUUGUCUUGCAGUCGCUGCUUGAAGUGUAGAUGUGUUUCAGGUCUUGUUCAUUGUAUUCGGUUUGAGAUCACAUCUGUUUCCAUCCUCACUCUUGCAGAAGUCAUCUGGGGCACAUCAGGAGCCUUUGCUUGGGAAUUGAUUUCCUCAGUGUCUUCUUAGGGGGUUUUCACUCCCCAUCCUUCUGGUCUCUUGUCUUGAAGGCAGGCUUUUUAGGCCUCCAUCAUCCCAGUUCUGGCAGUUCUUCCAGUCACAUGUUGAGACGUUUGAGUGUCUCCUUGGGUCUGGUGUAGAGCACCUGUUCUGACUUGCUGUUGCCAUAGGGCUUCCCUCUGGGGUCACUUUUUCUUGCGCCUCGUGUUG